UAUGGUAAUUUCCAGCAGCCGCGGUAAUACGUAGGGGGCAAGCGUUAUCCGGAUUUACUGGGUGUAAAGGGAGCGUAGACGGAUGGACAAGUCUGAUGUGAAAGGCUGGGGCUCAACCCCGGGACUGCAUUGGAAACUGCCCGUCUUGAGUGCCGGAGAGGUAAGCGGAAUUCCUAGUGUAGCGGUGAAAUGCGUAGAUAUUAGGAGGAACACCAGUGGCGAAGGCGGCUUACUGGACGGUAACUGACGUUGAGGCUCGAAAGCGUGGGGAGCAAACAGG
This 280-nucleotide ribosomal RNA is filed under the name Blautia luti. RNAcentral's name for it is "partial 16S ribosomal RNA". It matches the Rfam family "Bacterial small subunit ribosomal RNA", at positions 497 to 776 of the family's 1533-position model. The record is from RNAcentral. Lineage: Bacteria; Bacillati; Bacillota; Clostridia; Lachnospirales; Lachnospiraceae.